This 1384-nucleotide long non-coding RNA is filed under the name Strigops habroptila (Kakapo). RNAcentral's name for it is "lncRNA (ENSSHBG00005017813.1)". The record is from RNAcentral. Lineage: Eukaryota; Metazoa; Chordata; Aves; Psittaciformes; Psittacidae.
UUUUUUUUUUAAACAUGGUGAUUUUUUUUUCCUUUUCCCUCUUCAUUAUUUGCUGGCUGUUAUUUCCACCAAUGAAACCUACAGUCUCUGACAAGGAAAAGGCAAAGAUAUUUUGAGACAGAGGAACAGCAAUGAGGAAAAAAAUAGCACUCAUGAAGAGUUUCUACUGGCAAUCUCCUGUCCCUGAUUUUUUUUUUCCCUUAUACAAACUGUAAUAUGAUGAUAUUAUGCAACUGCCUUCACAUAUUAGAAUCAUUAUGAGCAGUAGCUUUGUGAUAUCAUACAGCAGGUGCUAAGAACAGUUUCUGCUUUUUCCCCAAAGCAACUACAAAAUUACUUACGAUUUCAUUACAGAACAAUCAACACUUUGUGGGGAGAAGUUUGUAUUAUUUUGUGAUUGUGUUAGCGAGGAAAAAAAUAUAUAAAUCUAUCUUUCUGGGGAGUCUGCAGCAUUCUCAGGGUGAAAACUAAACUGAAUUCAUUUGUAGCCAAAUGCCUACGUCCUUAGCCAGAGGAAACUCUGAUGGAACUGGAAGGACUCCAAUCCUCAGUCAGCAAUUUGCUUUCUCCUGCAGACUCAAGCCAGCAGGGCUCUGUGCAUCCCACCUGAGGACUGAAGAGUGCAGAGCUGUGGGCAAAGUUGAGUCCUUCAGCCAAGACUGAAGGGGUCACUAUGAGAGGAGGUUUUACAUUUAUCUCACCUUUAGGAUAGAGACAAAACCAAAGGGUUAAGCAAAAAAAUUCAACCUAUGUGGGGUGAGGCAGGUUCACAAUCAGGCAGAUGUGAAGUCCAGCCAAAGCCUUCUGAGAGUCACUGGCCACUUUCAAGCAACGGAUGUCUUUUAUCUUCUCUCUGGAGAAACUCUGGGGCUUAGGAAAGCCUCACCUCUGGUCAGCUCAAGUUACUCCAACAGGAAUAAUUCCAGAUGAUUCCUGCUCCCAGAGGAAGAGACAGCCACAGUCCAAGGUCUGCAGGUCUCGAUGCAAGGAAGACCAAUAAGCUUACAGGGAGCUGCAUUUUCCUCCAAGCAUUUCCUGCCAGUCUCCAAUGCCCACAAGGCAGCUGCACUGCCAGCCCCAGAACUGCCAAUCUGCCAUUGGAAACAGGGCAGAGAUUUCAUUACACGCUUUCAGACAGGGAAUUGCAGAACUGGUGGAAAUCUGCAAGCCCCAGUUCCUUACCCCUUUGGUUAAAUACCCCAGGGACUGCAGUCCUUUCACCCAAAGCCCAUGCUGUUGUCCUAUCCAUCCAAAACCGUAAUAUAUUAAAAGGUACUUUUCCACUAAAAAAGCAAAACAUGUCCAUUGGUCAUAUUUUCUAUUCCCAGAAGAUGCUUUGCUCGUGUUUUAUAAACACUUAGUACUAAAUAUUCCCUUUAAAAAA